AUACUUUUGUUACUCCUGCAUCGAAGAUCUUUUCUUCUCCAGUUGAGUUCGAGUGCGUAUUUCCUCAGUGAAAUCGCCAUUUCCUGUUUGGUUCAAGCAUUUCUGCUUUGUUCUAAUUUACCUGUUUCCCCUGCAGAUUUUCCCAUAUAUCUCCGACUGAUUCUUUUCAUUGAUUUAUUUUCAUGGUAUCCCUCGUGUCCCCCAACAGGUUUAAGUCGUAG
This 221-nucleotide long non-coding RNA is filed under the name Lathyrus oleraceus (garden pea). RNAcentral's name for it is "Pisum sativum (pea) long non-coding RNA (PSAT_LNC031572)". Lineage: Eukaryota; Viridiplantae; Streptophyta; Magnoliopsida; Fabales; Fabaceae. The record is from RNAcentral.